AAAAUAAACAGAAUUAUAACGUUGUAAAGAGAGUAAGUUAUAUGGUAAU
RNAcentral lists this non-coding RNA (49 nucleotides) under Trypanosoma brucei brucei. Lineage: Eukaryota; Euglenozoa; Kinetoplastea; Trypanosomatida; Trypanosomatidae. The record is from RNAcentral.